UCUGAAACUUAAAUUUUUAUUUGUUUAAUUUGUUUUUGGGUUUUAUUUUUAAAAUAUUAAUGAUUUUUAUUAUUUUUAAUGGAAUUAAUUUUAUUUAUGAUAGUUUACUAGUAUAGUGAUAGAAUAUUCAUUGGUUUUAAGGUUGUUAAAAGAAUUAUUAAUUUUUAGUACCUUGUGUAUCAGGGCUUAUAAAUAUAUAAUUUUAUAUAAAGUGUUCUCGAAUUUGGAAGAGCUAAGAAAAUAUUUAUUUUACUGUUGAAUAAGUAUUUAUAAUAUUUUUUUUGCAAUGAAACGUUAUUCGUUUUUAAAUAUAUCUAGUUUCUUAAGAAAUGAAUUUAAUUCAAGACUUGAUUUUAAGGCUUAUAAAUAUUUAUUUGUUUUUUGAUUUAGGUUUUAAUAUUAGAAGGGAUUAGCUUUUUAAUAUUUUUUAUAAAUUAAUAUUGUUGAUAAAAGUAGUAGGAUUAAAAUUUUUCAUCUUUUUUAGUAUGUUAUAAUUAAAUUUUAAUAUUUAUGAUUUAUAUUAAUUUUAAGUUUUUUAUUAAGAAAUUUUAUUUAAUUAUUUUUUAUUAGUUAUUAUGAUAAGAUUAGUAUGAUUUUAUUUAUAUAUAAAUUGAAUAUGUAAGGUUAAUUUAAGGAAUUCGGCAAUAUUUAUUUCUUACCUGUUUAAUAAAAACAUGUCCUUUUGAUUUUAAUUUAAGGUCUGGCCUGCCCAAUGAUAAUUUAAAUGGCCGCAGUAUUUUGACUGUGCAAAGGUAGCAUAAUCAUUAGUUUCUUAAUUAGGAACUGGAAUGAAUGGUUGGAUAAGGAAAUAACUGUCUCAUUUUAACUUUUUCGGAAUUUUAUUUUUGAGUUAAAAAGCUCAAAUUUUGUUUAAAGACGAGAAGACCCUAUAGAGUUUUAUAAUAAUAUAUUUUUGAUUUUUAGGAAUUUAUUAAUUUUUAAUGGACUUAUUAUUUUGUUGGGGUGAUGGAAAAAUUUAAUUAACUUUUUUUUUUCUUUACACUAAUAGGUGGUUUAUUGAUCCGUUUAUUUACGAUUAUAAGAUUAAAUUACCUUAGGGAUAACAGCGUAAUCUUUUUGGAGAGUUCUAAUCGAUAUAAGGGUUUGCGACCUCGAUGUUGGAUUAAAAUUUAAUAUUGGUGUAGAAGCUAAUAUAGUAGGUCUGUUCGACCUUUAAAAUUUUACAUGAUCUGAGUUUAAACCGGCGUGAGCCAGGUUGGUUUCUAUCUUGAUUUAUUUGUUAAUGUUCUAGUACGAAAGGACCGAA
This 1267-nucleotide ribosomal RNA is filed under the name Berosus affinis. RNAcentral's name for it is "16S ribosomal RNA". The stretch from base 612 to 1267 matches the Rfam family "Archaeal large subunit ribosomal RNA", at positions 1423 to 2766 of the family's 2987-position model. The record is from RNAcentral. Lineage: Eukaryota; Metazoa; Arthropoda; Insecta; Coleoptera; Hydrophilidae.